Molecule: ribosomal RNA, 395 nt
Filed under: Sinorhizobium medicae
Lineage: Bacteria; Pseudomonadati; Pseudomonadota; Alphaproteobacteria; Hyphomicrobiales; Rhizobiaceae
Description: bacterial SSU rRNA
Rfam family: Bacterial small subunit ribosomal RNA
Source: RNAcentral
GAGUUUGAUCCUGGCUCAGAACGAACGCUGGCGGCAGGCUUAACACAUGCAAGUCGAGCGCCCCGCAAGGGGAGCGGCAGACGGGUGAGUAACGCGUGGGAAUCUACCCUUUUSUACGGAAUAACGCAGGGAAACUUGUGYUAAUACCGUAUAAGCCCUUCGGGGGAAAGAUUUAUCGGGAAAGGAUGAGCCCGCGUUGGAUUAGCUAGUUGGUGGGGUAAAGGCCUACCAAGGCGACGAUCCAUAGCUGGUCARRGAGGAKGWUCAGCCRCAUUGGGACUGAGACACGGCCCAAACUCCUACGGGAGGCAGCAGUGGGGAAUAUUGGACAAUGGGCGCAAGCCUGAUCCAGCCAUGCCGCGUGAGUGAUGAAGGCCCUAGGGUUGUAAAGCUCU